UCAUAACUCACUGUAGUUGGCAACACAAGUAGAUGAGAGUGGUAAAGGCGGCACAUGGCAUGCUUCUCUUUAUCAGUCGGGGCAUCGAGUAUAAUAGUCAGGAAGUUAUGUUGCAGUUUUAUAAAAUAUUUGUUUGGCUGCAUUUGGGUGUGCAUUACUGGUCAUCCCUAUAUGGGAAAGGCGUGGAGGCUUUGGGGAGGUUGCACAAGAGAGGUUUACCAGAACACUGCCUGGAUUGGAGAGUAUUAGCUAUAAGAAGAGGUCGGCAAUACUUGGAUCAAUUUAUCCUGGAGCUUUGGUAGGCAGAGUGGAGAAGUAUCUAAAAUGAUUGAGAGGCAUAGAUAUGGUAAA
Amblyraja radiata (thorny skate) is the source of this 351-nucleotide long non-coding RNA. RefSeq lists it as uncharacterized. Lineage: Eukaryota; Metazoa; Chordata; Chondrichthyes; Rajiformes; Rajidae. The record is from RefSeq and is a predicted model, not a curated record. The transcript has 3 exons.